GUCGUCGUGGCCGAGUGGUUAAGGCGACAGACUAGCAUAUGUUGGGCUCUGCCCGCACAGGUUCGAAUCCUGUCGGCGACG
Ciona savignyi (Pacific transparent sea squirt) is the source of this 81-nucleotide non-coding RNA. The record is from Rfam. Lineage: Eukaryota; Metazoa; Chordata; Ascidiacea; Phlebobranchia; Cionidae.